This 249-nucleotide long non-coding RNA is filed under the name Dasypus novemcinctus (nine-banded armadillo). RNAcentral's name for it is "lncRNA (ENSDNOG00000049892.1)". Lineage: Eukaryota; Metazoa; Chordata; Mammalia; Cingulata; Dasypodidae. The record is from RNAcentral.
CAGAAAAGCUCAUGCAUACUUCCUCUGAGCUGUCCCACUGUUCUAUGGUGCUCAGAUUGACCUCAGAGAGAGUCCCCUCUCAUCAUGUGAAGCCAAAUUCUUGUCCUAGAUUUGCUAUAGUGCUAGAAGGUUCAGGAUCCAGGGUUCCUGCUUGCCCAGGCUGCUCCUCCUAGCCUCCACAGGGAUGCACAGCACCCGAGAAGCUGCCGUCUACUCACUGAGAACACUUGGUGAGUGAAUUGUGAGAAG